Molecule: transfer RNA, 77 nt
Filed under: Devosia elaeis
Lineage: Bacteria; Pseudomonadati; Pseudomonadota; Alphaproteobacteria; Hyphomicrobiales; Devosiaceae
Description: tRNA-Lys
Source: RNAcentral
GGGGACGGCGCUGGAGCGGCAUGGGAUGCUGACUCUUAAUCAGCGGGUCCAAGGUUCGAGUCCUUGUGCACCCACCA